UUCUGACAUAUUCCAAUGUGCUACCCUGAAUGUGCUAAACUUCAUUAGAUUUCAGAAGCUAAGCAGUGUCAAAUGUGGUUAGUACUUGUCUGGGAGACCACCAAGAAUACCAGGGAUCUCUGGGU
Molecule: ribosomal RNA, 125 nt
Filed under: Pogona vitticeps (central bearded dragon)
Lineage: Eukaryota; Metazoa; Chordata; Lepidosauria; Squamata; Agamidae
Source: RNAcentral